RNAcentral lists this unclassified non-coding RNA (398 nucleotides) under uncultured fungus. RNAcentral's name for it is "sequence contains ITS1". The stretch from base 1 to 104 matches the Rfam family "5.8S ribosomal RNA", at positions 50 to 154 of the family's 154-position model. Lineage: Eukaryota; Fungi. The record is from RNAcentral.
GAAAUGCGAAACUUAAUGUGAGUUGCAUCUCUAGUGAAUCAUCAAGUCUUUGAACGCACUUUGCACCCAUCUAGUCUCUAGAGGGUAUACUUGUUUGAGUUUCUUUUGUAAGAAAUUUUGGUAAUUUUUAACCAAGUAAAUAAGGGUGACAAAAUAUAUUAUUUAUAUUUGACACAUCUUGAAAUAUAUUUUAUUAUUUUUUAUUUUAAAUAAUAAAAUACCUAACAAAAAAUAAAUAAUUUUUUGUAUAAAUAAUUUUUAAUUUCUGGGGAAAGUUGGUAACAACUUUAUUAAAACUCUAUGAAAUAAUAUAAAAUUAUUUAUAUAAAAAAAAAUAUUUAUUAGGUAAAUUUUAAAAUUUUGAACUCAAAUCAAGUAAGGCUACCCGCUGAACUUAA